AGGAUGAUAAAAUUUUGCUCAAAGCAAAACAAAGAUACAAUGGGAUGGUUUUGCCCUGUAGCUAGGGGAAAACCUGCAAAUACACAGUGGGCAAUAGAGCCUAAUUCUCAUUUUCCAUAAUUGCGUUUAACAGAUACAACCAUCGUCCAGGCAAAUGGCAAUGCAUCUCAUGCAUACUGACUAAACAUUUUAUGUUCCUUGUGCUCCCAACAUUUCUCAAUAAUAAUAAUAAUAAU
Molecule: unclassified non-coding RNA, 236 nt
Filed under: Hevea brasiliensis (rubber tree)
Lineage: Eukaryota; Viridiplantae; Streptophyta; Magnoliopsida; Malpighiales; Euphorbiaceae
Source: RNAcentral